Non-coding RNA from Podarcis lilfordi (Lilford's wall lizard), 2440 nucleotides. The record is from the annotation of a GenBank genome assembly. NCBI's taxonomy places the organism in Eukaryota, Metazoa, Chordata, Lepidosauria, Squamata, Lacertidae.
CUCCGAGGCACCUCCGCGAGGGCGAGAAUGCGGCUCCGGGUCCGGGGUCAGCGGGUCCCGCUCCUGUCACAGGAGGAGUUCUCUCUCUCCGGCAGGGCCCAUUGUCUCUGCGCAGGCAGCGGCGGACUUGUUUGCGGCCUCCUUGUCCAUUUCGCUUUCCCCCGGCCUGCUGACGAGGACAACGCGGGCCAGUGGGAAUCAAUUAGGAGGUGUUUCGCUUUAUUGACUUCCUUUGAUUUCAGGAUAAAUGUUUUGUCUCCCUCUUCUAAAACAAAAGGAAAGGAAGAAAUGCUGCCUAUAGCCCGACUGCCGCACGGCGCGGCCCGCCAAGCCUGUGUUCAUAGAAGCCUUUGCAAAAGCAUGCCUUAAGUUUUCUUGCAAAGCCUUUAUCCCCAUGUACCAUCGUAGCAACAGCAACACACACGGUAACCGAAAAGCCUCCUAUAUACAUUACACACUUAGAAUAUUAAGGAAUGCAAACAGCGAGCCCAAGACAACAAACGCGCGCAACUUAGGCACACUCCAAAUGUAUACACGUUUACCCCAAAAGAAAGCUGUAAUCCUAAAUCCUGAGAGCCCCAAUGGAACUUGCUUCCAUGAAUAGGCAUCCAGGAAAUUGCUGUAUAUGUCCCAUAGAUUUAAAUGGGAGUCUAGGUAAAUGUACAUUGCAGUGUACUGCAGAUCUCUACUCAGAACUAAGCACCGCUGAAUUAAAUGAGGCUUGUUUACUACUACUACUAUACUGGUGUCCGGCCUUUAUAUUGCUAGAGCUUGAUGUACUCCAGCAAUGUGAAAAACUGGAGUUCAGGCAUUUUCCUCUUGGCAUCCUAACGCAUAACAUCCCAGGUGGAAUUCAGUGGCACAGAAAAGGCUUGUGUAUUGAAGCCCCCCCCCCCCCCCCUUUCAACGAAGGUGUUACAAAACAGAAGAUAUUUUUAGAAACUCGACGCGUCCAGGUCACUUGAACAGAUUAUGCAAGAAAUCUUAAAAAAAAAAAGCAAACAAACCCGUCCUUUAAAAAUUCCACUUCAAGCGACGCGCCAACAUGUGGCACAACUACCUAGACUGCAGUUCUAUGUUUACGCUGUCAGGGAGGUCGGUCGCACAGACAUCCGCAGGCCUUACUUCCGAGUAAACGGGUUUAGCAUUGCGCGGUGUCAAGAGAGCGCCCGGCUCCUUCGCUCGCCAAGUCAGCCGCCUUCCCGGUCAGGCGCCAUCAUCAAAAGAACAGCCUUAACCUGAACUCUUGUCCCCCCCCCCCGCCCCUUUUCUCUCUCUCCCCAGCCCUGCCUUAAUUAGGGCCAUUGUUGCGAGCCACGGUUAUGGAAGUGACAGGCGACCGAGGGAGCGAGAAGGCCCAGUCUUGAAAGCGGAAAAUAGGAGGGUAGGCGGAUUUCUUUGCACCCGAACAUGUAAGUUUGGAAACAGCGACCAUGGUAGGCAGUGCAGUCGUGUAAAUGUCUGGUCGCAAAUAUAAUCGAGAUCAACGGGACUGCUUUUGGGGGAAAGCGUGAUAGCAUUGCAGUCUAAAUUCCAGAACCUAAACCGCCCAAUUCCUAACACACCACAAACAAAACAGAAUUUCAUUUGUUUAUAUUUUUCCAUCUCAGACACAUUAAUAAUAUUUUUCUAUCUCAAAACGCAUUACCAGGGUGACUAGCAAUUAAAAAGCUAAGUGUCUAAUUCAGACUCUACGGAGGAAAUAAGUCCCUUUCAACUUAGUAGAACCUACUUCUGACUUGAGUAGACAUGACUUAGGAUUGGAUUUGAACUCGGCAGAACUUGUUUCCGAGUAAACAAGGAAGCUUAGGAACCUCUCCGUAAGUUAUCAAAAAAGAAUCUGGAAUCACCUCGGUGCCGGCUGAACGCGCCUUAACUCCUUGCUUCGCUCCAGAGUCCAGACGGCUUCCUUCUAAGACCAAUCGCCGUCUAUUAAGCCGAGGUAGCUGCCUUUAAAUCGACGGGAAUCCCACCCUAGCCAACCCUCCAAUUCACGCCGCCUUUGUGGCUUUAAAAAGCAAGACCUGAAGUGAGCGCAUUUCCAAAAGUCCGCUUCAAAUCAACGGGACGCAGGAAGUCCCAUUUUAAAAGCUUGAAUUUACUUUUGAUUCAAUAGGCCGGUGUUGCUCCAAUGCUCGGUCUGCUUUGCCCGGUAGAAAUGCCACAGGAAUAAAUGCGGGGAGUAAGUACUCAGUGAAAGAAAGGCAGCCUUCUUUCCUACGAUGCGCACUGACUAAGGCGCAAAGGCAGCCAUGUUGGCCUAUACGGGGGAAAAUGGCAACAACCCAGUUGAGCAAUAACUUUAUUACAGCCAACCAAAAUGCCACAAAGGAUUCCGAGGAUUCUGGGACAGAGAAGCCAUGGCUGCCCUUGUUGGCUUGUAAGGGUUGUAGCUAAAUAGCACUCAGUGGGGCUGAAUAAGGCUGCUGUCUUAUUCUAC